UUUCAUCUUUCGUUUUCUCUGCAUCUCAAUUUUCAGUUUCUCUCUACCGCUCAUCCUUUCCCCCAUUCAUGAACGUCCAUCUCCACCAUCAGCUUUUCAUUUUGGCCACAAUUUCUUUGAUUCGGUCAAACCCCUUGCCAUGAAGCCCUCUUGUUGACCGUCAUCUCCACCGAGGCUCUUGGAAACGGCCGCGUCCACGUUCUUCUUCAAUUUGGUUGACUCCUUGCCGCGCGUCCAUUUCCUCUUGCCUGCAAGCCCACAAUCCACCGAGAAGCAAGCCUACCGAAUCAACCGCUCCAUUUCAUCUUCGACCGACCGAGCUGCCACGUCCGCCUUCGCCAAGUCAAUCAUCCAUCUUCAACGCUCGAGAAUUUCAGCCGACCGAAGCCAGCUCAACCACCUUCGCGGCUUCUGUCUCCAGCUGGCCGCGUGACGUCAAACGAAGCUGCUUCCUCUCUGUCGCUGCCUUCAACGCUCGUGGAUUUCGGUCUGCUCGAAGACCAGCUGCUUCCUCGUCUGCUCCGUCUUCGACCGCACGCCUGCAGCAGCCCCGUGUUCGCUGCUCACUCGUCCAGCAUCAAUUCGAGCGAAGCCAGCCCCAUCUUCUUCGUUCGGCCCAAUUUGAAGCCGAAGUCAGCCUUCUUUUCCAGUCCACGAAGCCACCUCUGUUUCUUGCCUUGCGUCCACGAGUAGCAGCUUCUUCGCCGCGUCUUCUUCAGCUCGUGGAUCUGCCGCAACAAGCCAGCCCAGCAUCCAGCCCAUCAUCAAUUGGAUUUGAAACCCAGCAAAUUUCGGCCCAGUUGAAGUCUUCAAGUCCAGCAAGUGUCUUCAGCCCAUUGAAUUUCAAGCCCAGCAAAAUUUGUUGGUCCAGCAGCUCAUUUCAGUCCAAAUUCGGCCCAAAGAUUUAAUAACUCGGCCCAGCUUUUUGAAGCCCAGUUCAGUUUAGUUUCAAGCCCCGCAUCAUUUGUAUUUCAGCAAGGCCCAACAAGUUUAGCCCAUCUUGGGCCCAUGAAGCAAGUCGGCCCAAGUUCGGCCACCGUCGCGUCGUCGUAGCGGUGUUCCGGUCUUCGCUUUGCUCAAGACCCUGAUGAGGAGCCUGAGGAGGAGGAAUCUGAAGAGGAGAACCCUAAUGUGGAACUAGAUGAGAAGAAAGAUUUUAGAGAAGAAGAUGACCAUGAGGAGGAUCCUGAGUACGAUCCGGAUAAGGACUGAAUCCCAUCCCAUUUUGUCAGACCUUGAUUAUAUGUGGAUAAGUGUUAGAUUAGACCCCUGUGAAUAGUAUUGCAUUAUAUAUUAUGAGGUGCUUGUAUAAAAGAAUAGUUGUGAAUUUCAGUAUGAAAAAUAUGACCCUACUUUUAUAUCC
Eucalyptus grandis is the source of this 1363-nucleotide long non-coding RNA. RefSeq lists it as uncharacterized. The record is from RefSeq and is a predicted model, not a curated record. Lineage: Eukaryota; Viridiplantae; Streptophyta; Magnoliopsida; Myrtales; Myrtaceae. The transcript is spliced from 2 exons.